This 31-nucleotide non-coding RNA is filed under the name Homo sapiens (human). Lineage: Eukaryota; Metazoa; Chordata; Mammalia; Primates; Hominidae. The record is from RNAcentral.
CACACAGGUAAGACCUUAUGAGUGCAGUCAA